UAGGAAGGGGAUCUUAUUAUAAUAUUACCGCCCCCUAAAACUGUAUGUUUCCACCCACGGUGCCGCCAUUGUUUUCGUAAGCGACAACGGUGUACUGGAGACACUGGUCCUGGAGUGCAGCAGCAGCAGCUGUUCUGCACAGUUUAGCUACAACCCUGAUCAAACACAGUUAAAUGUCUUCAGGAUUACUAAAGCUACGUGAAGCAAGUGAUGGUGCCAAACAUGCCAUAUAUUAAAGUGAUCGGCUUGACAUUGAUGGCCAAUAAGGGCCCCAGUGUUCCUCAGAUAAUUAAACUGCUGGACUGGCAGGAUGACACAGAUCAUUACAUCAUGGUCACGAAGAGGCCAAUCCUUUGCAUGGACUUGUUGAGUUUCAGCUCAACGGAGGAAGCCUUGACGAGAUGACAGCACGACAUUAUAUGCGGCAGGUCAUUCAUGCCACUAACAUUUGUUGCGAGCACUGUGUCUUCCAUCGGAACCAUGGAGGUCAAAAUGAUUGACUCUGGGUGUUGUGUGCUCAUGAAGAAAUUUGCCUUCAAAGUCUUCAGUGGUAUGAUUUAUGAACCGCUUUGUUAACUAGUUUGCAGACACGCAUUGUCGUGGAAAUUCUCAAUACAAAUCUGACUUCACCACUGACAAUUUAAACAACUCCUAGUUGUUAAUAUAAUA
This is a long non-coding RNA of Ctenopharyngodon idella (grass carp), 669 nucleotides long. RefSeq lists it as uncharacterized. The transcript is spliced from 3 exons. The record is from RefSeq and is a predicted model, not a curated record. NCBI's taxonomy places the organism in Eukaryota, Metazoa, Chordata, Actinopteri, Cypriniformes, Xenocyprididae.